CCUGGUGUAACCCUAUCACCGCAGGGAAAUGUUCCGAGUCACCCCCCACAGUCCUCACCCGAGUCUUAGCAUCAUCAUACAUAUCCUUAGUCACCCUAAUGUACGCUACCUCUCCAUUCCACCACCAAUAUGACCCCCAUGAGAGAUUUUCGUGACUUCUAAGACCUCUUUACCAGCUACCCUAAUGCAAUUCGCAGUCGUAAGCCACAUACUAUAUGCGUCCCUCAACUCAUCCAUGCCCUCAUAGCCAACAACUUCUCCCCUAAUUCUUGAACUUUUUCCUUGUUCAAGUUACCCCACUUCAUCUUAAGUUUUUUGCACCCCGCCCUCUUCCUACUACUCCUCUUGAUCUCCAGGUCCAUAACUAGGAGCCUAUGAGGAUU
RNAcentral lists this long non-coding RNA (383 nucleotides) under Nicotiana benthamiana. RNAcentral describes it as "long non-coding RNA (NBEN_LNC006724)". The record is from RNAcentral. Lineage: Eukaryota; Viridiplantae; Streptophyta; Magnoliopsida; Solanales; Solanaceae.